UUAAGUUCAGCGGGUAUUCCUACCUGAUCUGAGGUCAACCUUGAGAAGUAGGGGGUUUUACGGCGUGGCCCUUACGCUUUCCAGCUGCGAGGUAUUACUACUGCACAGAGGAGGUCGCGUGAGGACCGCCACUAGAUUUCAGGGCCAGCCCCGGAGGGCUGAUCCCCAACGCCAGGUCCCGCGAACGGGUCCUGAGGGUU
This 200-nucleotide unclassified non-coding RNA is filed under the name uncultured Acremonium. Its description in RNAcentral is "sequence contains ITS2". The record is from RNAcentral. Lineage: Eukaryota; Fungi; Ascomycota.